Molecule: transfer RNA, 80 nt
Organism: Colletotrichum fioriniae PJ7
Lineage: Eukaryota; Fungi; Ascomycota; Sordariomycetes; Glomerellales; Glomerellaceae
Rfam family: tRNA
About the family: Transfer RNA (tRNA) molecules are approximately 80 nucleotides in length. Their secondary structure includes four short double-helical elements and three loops (D, anti-codon, and T loops).
Source: Rfam
GCCCCUUUAGCUCAGUGGUAGAGCGUCGCACUCGUACGCUUGAUAUGCGAAGGUCCACGGUUCAAUCCCGUGAGGGGGCA